GACGAACGCUGGCGGCGUGCCUAAUACAUGCAAGUAGAACGCUGAAGGAGGAGCUUGCUCUUCUGGAUGAGUUGCGAACGGGUGAGUAACGCGUAGGUAACCUGCCUGGUAGCGGGGGAUAACUAUUGGAAACGAUAGCUAAUACCGCAUAACAGUAGAUGUUGCAUGACAUUUACUUAAAAGGUGCAAUUGCAUCACUACCAGAUGGACCUGCGUUGUAUUAGCUAGUUGGUGGGGUAACGGCUCACCAAGGCGACGAUACAUAGCCGACCUGAGAGGGGGAUCCACCAAACUGGGAACUAGAAAAGGCCCAAAGUGCCUCAGGAGGCAGCAAGAGGGAAACUUAGGUAAUGGGCAGAAGUAGGAACGAGGAACGCCGCGGGGGGGAAGAAGGGUAUAGGAUCGUAAAGCUAGGUUGAAAGGGAAGAAAGAGAGGGAGAGUGGAAAGUUCAAAGUGUGACGGUAACUUAAGAAAAAGCGACGGCUAACUACGUG
RNAcentral lists this ribosomal RNA (495 nucleotides) under uncultured bacterium. Its description in RNAcentral is "partial 16S ribosomal RNA". It matches the Rfam family "Bacterial small subunit ribosomal RNA", at positions 28 to 507 of the family's 1533-position model. The record is from RNAcentral.